Molecule: ribosomal RNA, 448 nt
Filed under: uncultured bacterium
Lineage: Bacteria
Description: bacterial SSU rRNA
Rfam family: Bacterial small subunit ribosomal RNA
Source: RNAcentral
UGGGGAAUUUUGGACAAUGGGGGCAACCCUGACCCAGCAACGCCGCGUGAAGGAUGAAGUAUUUCGGUAUGUAAACUUCGAAAGAAUAGGAAGAAUAAAUGACGGUACUAUUUAUAAGGUCCGGCUAACUACGUGCCAGCAGCCGCGGUAAUACGUAGGGACCAAGCGUUGUUCGGAUUUACUGGGCGUAAAGGGCGCGUAGGCGGCAUGACAAGUCACUUGUGAAAUCUCUGGGCUUAACCCAGAACGGCCAAGUGAUACUGUCGCGCUAGAGUGCAGAAGGGGCAAUCGGAAUUCUUGGUGUAGCGGUGAAAUGCGUAGAUAUCAAGAGGAACACCUGAGGUGAAGACGGGUUGCUGGGCUGACACUGACGCUGAGGCGCGAAAGCCAGGGGAGCAAACGGGGAUUAGAUACCCGCGUAGUCCCUGAGCGGGCUGGCAAGGCGCAU